GCGUAACGCGUAUACAAUCUGCCUUUCACAUAGGGAUAGCCCGAAGAAAUUUGGAUUAAUACCUAAUGGUAUAUAAGAGCGGCAUCGUUUUUAUAUUAAAGCUACGGUGGUGAAAGAUGAGUAUGCGUUCUAUUAGCUAGUUGGAGAGGUAACGGCUCCCCAAGGCGACGAUAGAUAGGGGUUCUGAGAGGGAUGUCCCCCACACUGGUACUGAGAUACGGACCAGACUCCUACGGGAGGCAGCAGUGAGGAAUAUUGGACAAUGGUCGGAAGACUGAUCCAGCCAUGCCGCGUGCAGGAUGAAGGUCCUAUGGAUUGUUAACUGCUU
This 328-nucleotide ribosomal RNA is filed under the name uncultured bacterium. RNAcentral's name for it is "bacterial SSU rRNA". It matches the Rfam family "Bacterial small subunit ribosomal RNA", at positions 108 to 435 of the family's 1533-position model. The record is from RNAcentral.